RNAcentral lists this ribosomal RNA (468 nucleotides) under uncultured bacterium. RNAcentral describes it as "partial 16S ribosomal RNA". It matches the Rfam family "Bacterial small subunit ribosomal RNA", at positions 28 to 507 of the family's 1533-position model. The record is from RNAcentral.
GACGAACGCUGGCGGCGUGCUUAACACAUGCCAGUCGAACGGAAAGGCCCUGCUUUUGUGGGGUGCUCGAGUGGCGAACGGGUGAGUAACACGUGAGUAACCUGCCCUUGACUUUGGGAUAACUUCAGGAAACUGGGGCUAAUACCGGAUAGGAGCUCCUGCUGCAUGGUGGGGGUUGGAAAGUUUCGGCGGUUGGGGAUGGACUCGCGGCUUAUCAGCUUGUUGGUGGGGUAGUGGCUUACCAAGGCUUUGACGGGUAGCCGGCCUGAGAGGGUGACCGGCCACACUGGGACUGGGGUACGCCCCAGACUCGUACGGAACGCAGCGGUCGGGAGUAUUGCACACUGGGCGGAAGCCUGAUGCAGCCACGCCGCGUGCGGGAUGCCGGCCUUCGGGUUGUAAACCGCUUUCGCCUGUGACGGGGCGUGAGUGACGGUAAUGGGUAAAGAAGCACCGGCUAACUACGUG